RNAcentral lists this long non-coding RNA (2582 nucleotides) under Sus scrofa (pig). RNAcentral's name for it is "lncRNA (ENSSSCG00060048163.1)". Lineage: Eukaryota; Metazoa; Chordata; Mammalia; Artiodactyla; Suidae. The record is from RNAcentral.
AUGAGAAUCACUCAUCCCUGGAUGAAUGCAAACCACUCACCAGCCUCCAGCCCAAAUGCCUGCUCUCACCUCCCACAGGGUUGUCCGAAGUCAAAGUUCAAGUUCAUUCUUCAUGGCACCUCUUUCCAUCGUGGGUAUGAAGGAUGGAUUUGCACUCACCCAUGCUCUUCUCUAAUCACUGGGACUAACAGGAUCAUGGCUCCCACUGGCCGGGACUGGGCAGUCAGCCUGCAGCCAUGGAACAGAGGAGGGGGAAUGCUCCCAUUGCCCUUGGCUUUGAAGAACUCACUGUCAAAUCCACUGAGCUAACCAACUCCAGAUCUUUCCCUGCGGAGAACCGUGUAAUAGGCAUGUAAAAGCGAUGAAGGGGAUUGCUUUGGAAACUUGUAUAAAUAACUCUUUGGGCAGGAGAAAGAUUGCCAACACCUGCUUUUUGUUUUCUGGUAUUUAUUAGAGCCACCCUGUGAGGGACCUCUAAGCUUCCUGGAUCUUAUUCAUUUAUCUGAGUUCAUUCUUGGUUCAGGGUCAGCACUGUUGAGGGUGUAGAAAAAGCUGGCAAGGAUCAGAGGAGGGGAGUUCCCAUUGCAGUUCAGCAGUAACGAGCCUGACUAGUCUCCAUCAGGAUGCAGGUUUGAUCCCUGCCCUUGCUCAGGGGGUUAAGGAUCCAGCAUUGCCAUGAGCUGUGGUGCAGGCACAGCCGUAGCUCAGAUCCCACAUUGCUGUGGCCGUGUCACAGGCCAGCAGCUGCAGCUCCUAUUCGACCCCUGAACAACUCGCCUGUGAAUUUCCAUAUGCUGCAAGUGUGGCCCUAAAAAGCAAACAAACAAACAAACAAAAACAAAAAAAUAAAAACAAAAACAAAACUCAGAAAAAGACCACUGACUGUGAGAUUUCAGUAAGUGCAUAAGGUUCAGAAGUCUCCACAUCGACAGGAAUGAUCUUCAGGCCAAAUCUAAUUGUUCACCAUGCUUUUCCUAACUCAUUACUUCCUACUCCACUCCCCUCACAGUCAGUUAUUAAUGUAGCACCCAUCCAGUCAUUCAUACAUUUACCCAUUCGCUUACCUAGUAACAAUAAUUAGUCUAAUAUCAUGAUAGGUAUUCUCCUAGGUGCUGGGAAUAGUGAUGAAUCAGACUAGUCCAUGCCCAGGAAGAGUAGGGGAUGGACAGUUUAGUACAGCCUGAUCAGGGCUGUGACAAAUGUAGGUACAAGGUAACUAAUCCAGGCUGGUGAGGCCAGUCCGGAGUAAGUCUCGAGCUAUGUCUGGAAAAUAGUGGGAAUGGUGGGUUAGACAGGGGAAUAGCAUGAGUAAAGGCAGGGUAACCUGAACUUUGGCUGCUCAAAGCAUGCUCCAUGGAUCAGCCAAAUUAGCAUCACCUGAUGCUUAUUAGAAAUGCAGACUCUUGGGCCCCACCCCAGGCCUACUGAAUCAGAUUCUGCAUAUUAACAAGACCCUGCAAGAAUGCUAAUGCCCAUUAAUGUUUGUGAAGCACAAGUCUAAACACCAUUUCUCAGAGAAGCUGCCAGUGGUUGCCAGCCAUCACACUCCCAGUGCCGAACUCCUUGCUCUCAGCCAGAGCCACCUCCCUCUGCUGACUCGAAGAUUCAGCCCUGGGCUCUCCUUCCAGCUCCCUAACUUGCUUCACACUCCAGCAUCCUAAGCCAUCUAAUGGUUUCUGGGAAAUAAAACGUUUCUUCCCCUGGAAGCGUUGCAAAGACUAGUUUUCUUCUAGCUACAACACUGGCUAUGAUUUUGGACCCAGGAAUUCCACUCUGAGGACAUUAACCCAAGGGAGAAAAAAAUCCAAAAGAAAACAGUCAUUUAUACUCAGAUGUUAGAUGUUUAUAGCCAUGUCAUCUUCAAUCACACACAGUCAAAAGAGAAACAACCCAAAUGCCCAGCAUCGGUGCAGAAGUCGGAGGUGGGGAGCUGGGUGUUCCCCAAGCACACGUGGGGGUGGCUGGCGCUGCCUCUGGGGACAUGUCAGGAUGUCCUGGACUGUGUCCUGGCUGGAAAGUCAGGAAACCUGGGUCUCUGUUUCCUUCUACCCCUCUGGACUGCACCCCCUUGGGUAAUCCCACUCCAGUCCGGGGGCUUCAGGUUCUUGGGUGAUUUCUAGGUUUUGACAUUCAAUCUGUGCCCCAAAUCCGCCCCGCGUAAGCUUGCCCUUCUACCCAAAGAGGUGGUGCCCAGAACAAAUCCAUCCUGGGAGGGGCAGUGUAGAAACUGAGAUAUUGAGUGCAGCCAACAAAGACCGCAGGGUUGGGGGGAGGGAGGAAGAAAGAGGGGGGAGGGAGAGAAGGGUGGACAGAGGGAGAGGGAGGAAGGGAGGGAGGGGAGAGGGGAAGGGGGGAAGGAGGGAGGAAGGGAGGAAAGGGGUGGCGCAGAGAAUGUGUAUUGAACUCCUAUUCUGUGUAGACUCCGUGACACUAAUAAAAGCUAGUGUUUACUCCAUGCUUGCUGUUCUCCAGACUCUGUUUUAAGUGCUUUAUAUGCAUUAACUCCCUUAAUUCCUUACAUCAACACUAUAAAGUCAGAAUGAUUAUCACCCCCACUUUUCAGAUAAGAUUUAGGAAUGGCC